Molecule: unclassified non-coding RNA, 200 nt
Filed under: Penicillium sp.
Lineage: Eukaryota; Fungi; Ascomycota; Eurotiomycetes; Eurotiales; Aspergillaceae
Description: partial internal transcribed spacer 2
Source: RNAcentral
UUAAGUUCAGCGGGUAUCCCUACCUGAUCCGAGGUCAACCUGAAUAAAAGGUGGUUGUCGGCAGGCGCCGGCCAGGCCUUCAGAGCGGGUGACAAAGCCCCAUGCGCUCAAGGACCGGACGCGGUGCCGCCGCUGCCUUUCGGACCCGUCCCCGUGAGGGGACGGCGGCCCAACACACAAGCCGUGCUUGAGGGCAGCAA